AUUCCCUAAGUGGGAAAAUUCUCGGGAACGACACAUCACUGGUAAGCACAAUACGUCAUUCUAGCAAAUUUUGCAAAAAUCGUGCAUUUUGUGUAUUUUGCAUUUUAUUUGCAAUCUACACUUUAAUACCUUCAAGGUGCGUCAUUCAUUUUUAAAACUCGAAGAGGUUAGACACGACACGAGUGCAUCUACUUGAUCAACAUGACGACGUCAUCUGAAGACAUCACGUACAUGUUCGAACAACAUGCGCAAGACCCGCUGGCAAACUUUGAUGAAGAUUAUCCAGAGUUGGCCAGACUCCACCGCGAACCAAAGAAGAGGAAGCCUGCCAAGCGAAAUGUUAGCGUGCAGUGCGUCUCAAAAAAAUACGUCAUAAGGACACAUCAUCCUUCGUGCUACAAAACCACCACACCCCGGGCACUCGACUAAUUAGAGUCCAAGUUGUCGAUCUAGAGAACAGUCCUCAAGUUACUCAUGACAACGGGGACCCUGAGGAAAACAUUUUAAUGAGCGCCCAGUACGUGGUACAUAAGGAUUCCUAUGAUGAAGUGUUAACGCAGACAGAAGCACUUAUCGCAAACAUAUCAAAAAAGUUGUGUAAUUAUCAUUUCUAGUGCAAUAAAUAUUUUAUAUUUA
RNAcentral lists this long non-coding RNA (636 nucleotides) under Pectinophora gossypiella (pink bollworm). Its description in RNAcentral is "uncharacterized LOC126381048". The record is from RNAcentral. Lineage: Eukaryota; Metazoa; Arthropoda; Insecta; Lepidoptera; Gelechiidae.